GGGGAAUUGUUCACAAUGGGCGCAAGCCUGAUGGAGCGACGCCGCGUGGGGGAUGAAGGGCUUCGGCUCGUAAACCCCUGUCAUUUGCGAACAAACCUCAGAUGUGAAUAGCAUUUGAGCUGAUUGUAGCGAAAGAGGAAGGGCCGGCUAACUCUGUGCCAGCAGCCGCGGUAAUACAGAGGUCCCGAGCGUUGUUCGGAUUCACUGGGCGUAAAGGGUGCGUAGGUGGUGGGGUAAGUCUCGUGUGAAAGCUCGCAGCUUAACUGCGAAAAGUCACGGGAUACUAUUCUGCUGAGGCUUGGAGGGGGGACUGGAAUACUUGGUGUAGCAGUGAAAUGCGUAGAUAUCAAGUGGAACACCAGUGGCGAAGGCGAGUCCCUGGACAAGACCUGACACUGAGGCACGAAAGCCAGGGGAGCAAA
Molecule: ribosomal RNA, 422 nt
Filed under: uncultured bacterium
Lineage: Bacteria
Description: bacterial SSU rRNA
Rfam family: Bacterial small subunit ribosomal RNA
Source: RNAcentral